RNAcentral lists this ribosomal RNA (201 nucleotides) under uncultured bacterium. RNAcentral describes it as "partial 16S ribosomal RNA". It matches the Rfam family "Bacterial small subunit ribosomal RNA", at positions 524 to 721 of the family's 1533-position model. The record is from RNAcentral.
UACGUAGGAGGCGAGCGUUGUCCGGAAUUACUGGGCGUAAAGAGCGCGUAGGUGGCGCGGAUACGACCGGUGUGAAAUCCUCCGGCUCAACUGGAGGGGGUCACUGGUAACGGUCGUGCUGAUGAGUGCAGGAGAGGGACGUGGAACUCCGGGAGUAGCGGUGAAAUGCGUAGAGACCCGGAGGAACACCAGUGGCGAAGG